Molecule: long non-coding RNA, 759 nt
Filed under: Brachypodium distachyon (stiff brome)
Lineage: Eukaryota; Viridiplantae; Streptophyta; Magnoliopsida; Poales; Poaceae
Description: long non-coding RNA (BDIS_LNC005307)
Source: RNAcentral
GUCUUGUAGCUUGCGACAUGGAUUGACUGACCAAGUCAGAACAGAACAUUGUUAAGCAUACUCAAGUUGAAUCCUGCGAGAAAUCAAAUCAUACAGUGCUACGUACGGCCUAACUACUGUUGUUUUUUCAACAAAAAUACCAAGUACUCACACCAAUCCAUAAUAAAUGUCGGUAUUUAAGUACAAAGUUGUUUAGGGAGCGCUGACAUCUGUGCAUGUGUACCUUGCAAUCUUCUUUUGUUGCGUUCUAUAGAACGGACGGACGUAAUGACAGGAUGGACCUAUUGCUAGCAACGUUGCCGUCGCGGUCGUUGCCGUCGUUGUGGAUUGGCUGAAAUCAUUCAUUAAGGCCUAAUUAACUUGCCGCUCCUUGUCGCGGUCCACCGGUCCGCGUCCAUGUUGUGCAUAGCCACUAGCCGUUUGGCGAAAUUAGGGAGAGAGGAAAACGGCUAGUGUUUUUGGUUUGGUUUGUUUGACUUGAGGACUCUGCUAGCGCUUGUUUUUUCUUUUUCUUUUUUUUUGAGCGAACGCUAGCGCUCGGCCGUCUGCCACCAGUGAUGGGCCUUCCUUCACAAGGACGGCAAGUGAUUACGGGCUGAGUGCGCAUUGGGCCUUGUUGGGGCUUGGGCCCAGGCGUGUGUUGGCCCAUUUAUGUGUGCCCAGGAGUAUGACUAAAAAAAAGUGUUUAGUUUUGCUAAAGCUAGACAUCAGAAUCCGAUGCCACCAAUCUAGAUUCGAGAGGGAGAAAAAAUUUCGCCG